CAACUACAUUGAGUAUAGGAGGUCCAGCCUGCCCAGUGACUACGGGUUCAACGGCCGCGGUAUUUUGACCGUGCAAAGGUAGCGCAAUCACUUGUCUCUUAAAUAGAGACCUGUAUGAAUGGCUAGACGAGGGCUUAACUGUCUCCCCCUUCCGGUCAGUGAAAUUGAUCUAUCCGUGCAGAAGCGGGUAUAAUUAUACAAGACGAGAAGACCCUUUGGAGCUUAAGGUACAAGAUUCAACCACGUUAAACGACUCCACAUAAAGCGCGAACUUAGUGGUACCUGAAAUUUUACCUUCGGUUGGGGAGACCGCGGAGGAAAAAGAAGCCUCCGAGUGGACUGGGCCAAACCCCUAAAGCCAAUAGAUACAUCUAUAAGCCGCAGAACAUCUGACCAAAAAUGAUCCGACUGAAGAGCCGAUCAACGAACCAAGUUACCCUAGGGAUAACAGCGCAAUCCUCUCCCAGAGUCCAUAUCGACGAGGGGGUUUACGACCUCGAUGUUGGAUCAGGACAUCCUAAUGGUGCAGCCGCUAUUAAGGGUUCGUUUGUUCAACGAUUAAAGU
RNAcentral lists this ribosomal RNA (565 nucleotides) under Achondrostoma arcasii. RNAcentral describes it as "partial 16S ribosomal RNA". It matches the Rfam family "Bacterial large subunit ribosomal RNA", at positions 1831 to 2594 of the family's 2925-position model. Lineage: Eukaryota; Metazoa; Chordata; Actinopteri; Cypriniformes; Leuciscidae. The record is from RNAcentral.